Non-coding RNA from Pristionchus pacificus, 63 nucleotides. Lineage: Eukaryota; Metazoa; Nematoda; Chromadorea; Rhabditida; Neodiplogasteridae. The record is from Rfam.
UCUUCAUUUCACGUGCUCUCUCUCUCCGGUCAGAGAGGCGAGAGAGUGUGUGAAAUGAAGAGA